UACGGAGAGUGCUAGCGUUGCUCGGAAUUACUGGGCGUAAAGGGCGCGUAGGCGGCUCGGAAAGUUGGAUGUGAAAUCCUGCGGCUUAACUGCAGAACUGCAUUCAAAACUUCCGGGCUAGAGUACGGAAGAGGAGGGCGGAAUUCCCAGUGUAGGGGUGAAAUCCGUAGAUAUUGGGAGGAACACCAGUGGCGAAGGCGGCCCUCUGGGACGAUACUGACGCUGAGGCGCGAAAGCGUGGGGAG
RNAcentral lists this ribosomal RNA (245 nucleotides) under uncultured bacterium. RNAcentral's name for it is "partial 16S ribosomal RNA". It matches the Rfam family "Bacterial small subunit ribosomal RNA", at positions 524 to 768 of the family's 1533-position model. The record is from RNAcentral.